GACGAACGCUGGCGGCGUGCUUAACACAUGCAAGUCGAACGGAAAGGCCCUGCUUUUGUGGGGUGCUCGAGUGGCGAACGGGUGAGUAACACGUGAGUAACCUGCCCUUGACUUUGGGAUAACUUCAGGAAACUGGGGCUAAUAUCGGAUAGGAGCUCCUGCUGCAUGGUGGGGGUUGGAAAGUUUCGGCGGUUGGGGAUGGACUCGCGGCUUAUCAGCUUGUUGGUGGGGUAGUGGCUUACCAAGGCUUUGACGGGUAGCCGGCCUGGGAGGGUGACCGGCCACAUUGGGACUGAGAUACGGCCCAGACUCCUACGGGAGGCAGCAGUGGGGAAUAUUGCACAGUGGGCGGAAGCCUGAUGCAGCAACGCCGCGUGCGGGAUGACGGCCUUCGGGUUGUAAACCGCUUUCGCCUGUGACGAAGCGUGAGUGACGGUAAUGGGUAAAGAAGCACCGGCUAACUACGUG
Molecule: ribosomal RNA, 468 nt
Filed under: uncultured bacterium
Lineage: Bacteria
Description: partial 16S ribosomal RNA
Rfam family: Bacterial small subunit ribosomal RNA
Source: RNAcentral